Long non-coding RNA from Mus musculus (house mouse), 1026 nucleotides. RefSeq annotates it as predicted gene, 36903. The record is from RefSeq and is a predicted model, not a curated record. NCBI's taxonomy places the organism in Eukaryota, Metazoa, Chordata, Mammalia, Rodentia, Muridae. The transcript is spliced from 4 exons.
CAGGAAGAUUGGUUCCACUCUGUAAGGGGUGCAACAUGGAGGAGAGAAUACUGCCUCUAUUCCCUUCACAAGGUAAUUGUGACAGCAACAAGAAAGGCUUGAGAAGUUCCUCCAAAGAAGUACUCCAAGGAAUACAGAGUUCUGGGCUGCCUAACAUCUUCUGGUACCAUGAGAGCUAGAACCCGGGAGGAGGCUUCCAGGAGGUUCUGGAGUGAUUCUGUUUAGUUCUGGAGAAACUAGAAAGAUUCAAGUGAAGUUUGUGCGUUCCCAGUCAGCAAGCUAGUUUUGUGGAGAUGAGCGAUUUGAAACAUCUGCAUGGACCAGAAAAGAAGCAGAAAAGUUUCCCCAAAAUUGAAACCUGCUGCAGCUGCUUAUGAUGUAGGAACAGCCUGCUUGCUUGUGCCAGGAGCACAAUGUCUCCUUUCAGUAUUUUUGCCUGCUGGUGAGGUUGUGGUGGCCAAUUCCUUUUAAUUCUAUAAGGGAGAGGAAGUAUUGAAAUUCCACACUUUGGGAAAAGCGUUAUACCCAGAAACAAUAGUUUAUAGUCCCAAACGGACUCCUCAUGACAAGAACAUCAGAGCCAUAAAACAAAGAUGUCAAAACAAACAAAAAUCCCUAUACUUAGAGUAGAUACAGAGAUGGAUGUCAAUAAGCAGGAAAAUUAGAAUUUCAAUGUUACCCUUGGAUAGUCAGCAUGUUUGAGGUCAGCCUGGGCUACAUAAAACCCUGUCUCAACAAAGCAAAACAAAUAAAAAAUAAAACUAGUUUGCAUUUAUGAAUAACUAGAAAAUCAAGAAACAGUUCUGCUGUUUGGAAUUAAUUUCUUGGCUAUAACCAUCCCCAUGAUGUGGUACUUACCAAGUAUUAUUUUAGAGAUAUAUAGCAGAAUGUCAGAAAAGAUUUAAGGACUAUUAGUGCAUAAGGAAACUAACUGGGAGGGAAUGGAAUUAGAAGGAAAUGCCUGUGAUGAGUAGGUCUGCUCUUACCAGACACCCCACUACAUCAGAUAUGGAAUUUCAUAGGUAC